This 467-nucleotide ribosomal RNA is filed under the name uncultured bacterium. RNAcentral's name for it is "partial 16S ribosomal RNA". It matches the Rfam family "Bacterial small subunit ribosomal RNA", at positions 28 to 507 of the family's 1533-position model. The record is from RNAcentral.
GAUGAACGCUGGCGGCGUGCUUAACACAUGCAAGUCGAACGGAAAGGCCCAAGCUUGCUUGGGUACUCGAGUGGCGAACGGGUGAGUAACACGUGGGUGAUCUGCCCUGCACUUCGGGAUAAGCCUGGGAAACUGGGUCUAAUACCGGAUAGGACCACUUCUUGGAUGUUGUGGUGGAAAGUUUUUUCGGUGUGGGAUGAGCUCGCGGCCUAUCAGCUUGUUGGUGGGGUAAUGGCCUACCAAGGCGUCGACGGGUAGCCGGCCUGAGAGGGUGUACGGCCACAUUGGGGCUGAGAGACGGCCCAGACUCCUACGGGGGGCAGCAGUGGGGAAUAUUGCACAAUGGGCGCAAGCCUGAUGCAGCGACGCCGCGUGGGGGAUGACGGGCUUCGGGUUGUAAACUCCUUUCGCUAGGGACGAAGCGUUUUGUGACGGUACCUGGAGAAGAAGCACCGGCUAACUACGUG